AGUGAACGCUGGCGGUAGGCCUAACACAUGCAAGUCGAACGGCAGCACAGGAGAGCUUGCUCUCUGGGUGGCGAGUGGCGGACAGGUGAGGAAUACAUCGGAAUCUACUCUGUCGUGGGGGAUAACGUAGGGAAACUUACGCUAAUACCGCAUACGACCUACGGGUGAAAGCAGGGGACCUUCGGGCCUUUCGCGAUUGAAUGAGCCGAUGUCGGAUUAGCUAGUUGGCGGGGUAAAGGCCCACCAAGGCGACGAUCCGUAGCUGGUCUGAGAGGAUGAUCAGCCACACUGGAACUGAGACACGGUCCAGACUCCUACGGGAGGCAGCAGUGGGGAAUAUUGGACAAUGGGCGCAAGCCUGAUCCAGCCAUACCGCGUGGGUGAAGAAGGCCUUCGGGUUGUAAAGCCCUUUUGUUGGGAAAGAAAUCCAGCUGGCUAAUACCCGGUUGGGAUGACGGUACCCAAAGAAUAAGCACCGGCUAACUUCGUGCCAGCAGCCGCAGUAA
RNAcentral lists this ribosomal RNA (506 nucleotides) under uncultured bacterium. RNAcentral describes it as "partial 16S ribosomal RNA". It matches the Rfam family "Bacterial small subunit ribosomal RNA", at positions 29 to 523 of the family's 1533-position model. The record is from RNAcentral.